Molecule: long non-coding RNA, 723 nt
Organism: Cydia fagiglandana
Lineage: Eukaryota; Metazoa; Arthropoda; Insecta; Lepidoptera; Tortricidae
Exons: 2
Source: RefSeq, a predicted model, not a curated record
UUAUUUUUUAACUUAUAAACCAUUACUCCCCUUUAUUUGGCAUGUUGGUAAAUUUUUGGCAGCCCUAGCUUCAUUAUAGAAAAUGUAUGAAAACAACUUCAAACCGUUACCAAACUUCGCCUACUACCCCGUUUUUUAAAUAUAUGCCUCGUCUGGUGUAGUUAAGGUUCAUAGUAUAUUAGCACAUUCCAAGGAGAUACGACUUAACAUGUGUAAGUCACAGAAAAGUAAGUAUUAGCGGCAAGGCAUGCCAUAGGCGAAGAUUGGGAAAAAUACCCAAACAUCGCCUAUAGCCUUUGGGGCCAUUUAUUACCAACUUAACCAAUGAAAUUAAAAGUUUUAGUGUUGUAUACUGAUAGUUAGGAAUACUAAAAAACGUUUUUUCGCCUAAACGGAUUAAAAUGUUAUCAAAUUUGAGAGAUUUUUUUGAAAAGUGUCAAAACCCAGGCGAAGAUACGAAACUCUACGUUAGUAUUAAUGAAGUAACAAAAUAAUCGUAAAUAAAUCCAUGGAAUUAAUAAUACAGGUGGUAGGGUGAUGUAGUGAAUAAAAUAAAUUUCACGAAUAAAUGUCUUUUAAUAUUGCUUACCUUCGUUGGUAUAUCUUGAUUACAGCAAGAGCAGUAUACGUGUUUGUCACGUACCUCCAAAAACGGAAAAUUGCCACAAUAUUCGAGUAAAGAUGACAUUUUAGAGCGUUUUCUUAUACAUUAGUAAAUAUAAA